This 1177-nucleotide long non-coding RNA is filed under the name Ictidomys tridecemlineatus (thirteen-lined ground squirrel). RNAcentral describes it as "lncRNA (ENSSTOG00000030383.1)". Lineage: Eukaryota; Metazoa; Chordata; Mammalia; Rodentia; Sciuridae. The record is from RNAcentral.
UAAUCUUAAAUGUUCUCACUGGCCCUACAGGUGAUGGUGACUCUGUCUCCAUGAGACACAAGCAAGGAGGAUGGAAACUGGGUCAUCAUGAUGUCACAUCUCACACCUGACAUUGGAAACAUAAAAAGAAAUAUCAAUGGCAGAAGAAAUGGCUCGGGACUGCAUGGCCUCAGGACAAAACCAUCCACACAUGCUGGUUGCCACUCCUCUGAGAAGAAGGACACAAGUGCCUGUGGUAGCUCCACAGUUCAUAUGAUGCAGGGACUCUGCUCACAGUGGAUCAUGGUGGACAGAUGUACAGGCCUGAAUACUUGCUGCUCUACUUUCUGGUCUCUAAAUACCACCAGGCACCACCUUUGACUCUUUCAUGAAAAUCUAAGGGUAUAGUCAGAGGCAGGCUAAGAACCAGGCUAUGCAGGAGAACAGAGUUGUGACCCACAUGAGUUCAGCCAUGUGGGAAGGGAGGAGUAACUGGGGUCAACUAAGACUAGGAGGGGACAGGACAGAGAAGACCAAGGCAGGAGGGCAGAGGGCAGAGGAGAGACACUGGAGGAGCCCAGGAUCCAGGGAGAAGAGAUGGGAGGGGGAGGGAGGGUGUGAAUUCAGAGCUGUCCCCAACCUGCCUCUCUGAGGGUCCUCAGACUGUUAGCAGCCCUGUGCACAAGCAGCAUCUGAAUGGAGGUUUGCCCCCUAGUGGGGACAGUAAGAAGUUCAAGUUCCUUGAAGGAAGUAUAGCUGCUGGUGCCAGAAUAACCUGUGUCCCUGCCCCACAGCCCUCCCAUGCAGGCAGAAUAUGCAGAGGGCAGCAGGAGGUAGCAGGAGCUCAGCAGCCAGGUCUGGUCCUGAUGAUGCCAGGCUGGAUGAUGCUAAUGUUCUUGCUAUGUCUGCAUGGGACAGUGACCUCUCAUUCCUCAGCACUGUGGUAGGGAGAAGGGAGGAUCUUAGGUCAGGUAACUGUGAAAGCAGUGGAAGCAUGGGGGAGGCCUGGGUCUGUCCCCAGCACCACAGAGAAACAGCCAACAAAAUUAAAUUAAAAACAUCAGAAAUCAGAAACUGAGGCCUCUCAGUACACUUCUGUUUUGCAAGAUUAUUCAGUCUCUCUGUGUCCCCUGCAUUAUUGUUCUCAAUGUAAAAAGUGAUUGACAAUUAUGCAAAAAAAUAAAUAUAUAAAAGGUAA